This is an RNA transcript of Micropterus dolomieu (smallmouth bass), 2944 nucleotides long. It is a transcript of the gene named MTOR associated protein, LST8 homolog (S. cerevisiae), with no coding region annotated. NCBI's taxonomy places the organism in Eukaryota, Metazoa, Chordata, Actinopteri, Centrarchiformes, Centrarchidae. The transcript has 9 exons. The record is from RefSeq and is a predicted model, not a curated record.
AAGCGCUGGUUAUCAAAACGGAACCUUUUAAACAUCGUCUGUAUGUUGCUAACGGACACGUAACGGGGACGUACUGAUUUGUCGUCAACACGAACAACUAAAGUACCGUCCGUCCGUACAUGCCUCGCUCUGAGCAGUGACAGCCAGCAGUCCAGCAUGAAUGUGAACCAGGGCACGGUGGGCAGCGACCCAGUCAUUCUGGCCACGGCUGGAUACGACCAUACGGUCCGUUUCUGGCAGGCCCACAGCGGGAUCUGCACCAGGACAGUUCAGCACCAGGACUCUCAAGUAAACUCACUUGAGGUCACACCUGACAGGAGUAUGAUUGCAGCAGCAGGUUAUCAGCACAUCCGCAUGUACGACCUGAACUCCAACAACCCCAACCCGGUGAUCAACUACGACGGCGUCAGCAAGAACAUCACCUCUGUGGGUUUCCACGAAGACGGACGCUGGAUGUACACAGGAGGAGAAGACUGUAUGGCUCGCAUAUGGGACCUUAGGUCAAGAAAUCUACAGUGUCAGAGGAUAUUCCAGGUCAAUGCUCCAAUCAACUGUGUAUGCCUGCAUCCCAACCAGGCAGAGCUGAUUGUUGGAGACCAGAGUGGAGUGAUUCAUAUCUGGGAUCUGAAGACCGACCACAAUGAACAGCUGAUUCCUGAGCCGGAGGUCUCAGUCAACUCAGUUCACAUUGACCCAGAUGCCAGUUACAUGGCAGCGGUCAACAGCUCGGGAAACUGUUAUGUGUGGAACCUUGCUGGAGGCAUCGGAGAUGAGGUGACUCAGCUUAUUCCCAAGACUAAGAUCCCUGCACACAAACGCUACUCACUCCGCUGCAAGUUUAGCCCUGAUUCCACCUUUUGGUGUUGGUCGUCAUCUCCAGCCUGUUGGCCACCUGCUCAGCAGACCAGACCUGCAAGAUCUGGAGGACGUCCAAUUUCUCUCUGAUGACGGAGCUGAGCAUCAAGAGCAACAAUCCCGGAGAGACGUCUAGAGGCUGGAUGUGGGACUGUGCUUUCUCUGGAGACUCCCAAUACAUUGUCACUGCCUCGUCCGACAACCUGGCCCGCCUGUGGUGCGUGGAGACCGGCGAGAUCAAGAGGGAGUACAGCGGCCACCAGAAAGCUGUGGUGUGUCUAGCUUUCAAUGACAGUGUACUGGGCUGAGAAGGAGGAGGAGGAAUGAGACAGGAGAUGGCAGGCAGUGUGGAGAGAUGGAACAAGGACAGAAAAGCGACUCUUUGGAAGAUGUGCCUCAAUUCACAGAGGUGCGCUGGGCAUUAAUGGGAAUAAUUAAAAAGCUUCCCAGAAAUGAUCAUCUUGAGAAAGUGGAGGUUUGUGUCUACAGUGCUCCUCCUUGCCAGAUGCCUGCAAGUAUUCUGAAUAGCAGCAAGGCCAUAAAGUAACAAUCCACUUUAAAUGGCCAAGCACCCCAUUUUACACCAACUUUAAGCGGCCGGUCAGGAACGCGUCUGUACUAACAGUAUAGGUCUGAAUAAAAUACAUGAUAAUUUUCAUCAGGUACCCUUUAUGUUUUUAACUUCAUCGCUCUAUGCACAAUAGGAGAUCCGUUUCAACCCUUUUUUUGUUAUAGUGUACCAUAUUUAUUGUCAUUCUUUUUUCAGUCUAAUCAAGAAACAGUGGCUCAAAAAUUCAAUAAACAGUCUUUUAUUGGGCAGAUGAAAACACUCAUUGCAACAGAAACGGUUACACAUAAUUACACUGCAGCAGUGGGUUACAGGAAAUACAAUUAUCAGCACGUACAAAAAAAGGGGAUCUUUCUUCUGUAAUCUCUGAGGUGUGCCACCAGAGAGGGUAUUACACAUGAAGAGAGUGACGACGGGGCUUUGGCAAUAACCGUGACAGCCUGUCUCCAUCUCUUCUGUCUCGGAAGCAUGGAAAUGGACUGGGAGGGUUGGCUGCUUUACUGGCGGCUGUAUGGCACGAAGGAAACAGUCAAAGCUGGCUUUUGUUCUUUUUUUUCUUUUUUUUUUUUUCUUUCUUGUAGAGGGAGCUAAAAAGACAACUUUGUUUCCCUGAUCUUUUGCUGGGAGGAGAGCAAGAGAAUACACAGUCACUCUGGCAGGUAGUAGAAGCACACAGACACGCAGAUGUUGCUGGGAAAGCAGAUGUCGAUGCAGAAGUAGACCAGCCUCUGUUUGCCUGGGCCUGAAAGCAACAUAAAGACCGCAGUGACUCAUUAAAAAUCGGACAAAAUCUUUGACAAAACCCAGAUUUAGUGAACACGACCUCACUGUGGAAACAGGCCAUCAUAGUGGAGACAGCACAGCAUUUACUGUUGACUGCAUUAACCGCUAUUAAUAACCUGCCUCCCUAAAUUCAGAAUAUUAUGCCCUAAUUCUACAAACACUACCCAGAUAACCUGUCACAACUUUAAAGCUAAGCUUUAAUGAUAAAUUAUUUGAUAAAAACAUUUUCUUUUUCCUAGUAGUAGUAGAGUACAGUAAAGCUUAUAUAAACUGAUUGAAUCAGUCACAAAAUCCCUGUCACACAUUAUUAAUACAUUUUGACAAUAUUUACAAGUUAGACACAAUUUUGGGUCUAAAAGCAGCCUGAUUAAUGUACGAUAUGUUAAUAUACUAAUUCUGUAUGGGGAAAAUGUGUCACCAGCACCACCUGUAGACUGUUCAGUGAGUAUAAUGUUACUUGCUGCGACAGUGGAAAGGUCAUUGCACUUCAUAGAUUAGACUCAGGUUUCCGCCUGACGCGUUAGUUCGAUAUGGAGUUGCCACCUGACUAAUUUUAAAAACUCCCAUCAUACAUUGUCUGUGGGGACCUGACAAACUCUGGUGUGUAAUGUAAGAAACCGUGCCAUUUUUAUUUCACACUUAUUCUUAUUCACUCUUUUUUAAUUUAUUUUAUUUCACACUUUUGUCAAGAGGCCAAAAUGUCUGUAUACAACUAAAAUAAAAACCUACAGUAUAUCA